This is a long non-coding RNA of Triticum dicoccoides, 2830 nucleotides long. RefSeq lists it as uncharacterized. NCBI's taxonomy places the organism in Eukaryota, Viridiplantae, Streptophyta, Magnoliopsida, Poales, Poaceae. The record is from RefSeq and is a predicted model, not a curated record. The transcript has 15 exons.
GCCUCCUCCUCUCUCCCUCCCUCCCGCAGCCGCCUCCCUCCCUCCCGCGCGCCUCCUCUCCUCCCCCCGCCUCCCGCAGCCACAUCGCCGCCGCCGCCACCCGCCUCCCCACUCGGGCGAACCCCUCUCCUCUUCCCCCGCCUCACCUCUCUCCCUUCCCCCGUCCAAACCCUAGGCCCGCGCCCGCCGGCCGCCGCCGCCGCCGCUCGCCCAGGCCAUCCUCCCGCUGUGAAGGAAGCGGCCAAAGAGGAAGGGCGUCGCCGGGUGUGCAUGUGCCUCCGCGGAUUCGUGCCACGGUUGCCGGAGGCGUGGGCGCCGCGGGUCACCUCUCCAGAUCGGUGGAGGGCAAGGGCAAGGGCAAGGAGGAGGGGAGAAGAAGACCUUCGGCCAGCUGCGGGAAGCCGCCGCUGGUGUCCUCCGCGGCAUCCACCGGCGCCGGUGGCGGGCAGAAGCGCAAGUGCCACGACCACGCGCACUCCGAGAACGUCGCCGGCGGAAAGUACGGCGCCUCCGGUGGCCGCCGCCACUGCUCCAAGCGCGGAAGUCCCAGGUUCGGCGGAUGACUCGCAUGCCGGCAAUCAGCUCGAAGGCGGCGGAGAUCCCCGCAGGCGACUUCUCGUGGCGCAAGUACGGGCAGAAGCUGCCUGUGGAGAAUGCCCUGGACUCAGCAGUUGACGUAACUCGGUUGAGCUGCGGUGCGCUAUAUUUAGCUGAUUUUAUUGGGAAGGGAAGGGGUAUGAAAUUCUCAACUUAGAGGGAGCAUACACAAGUGUAAGCAGACCCUUGAGCAAGAGAGCAACAUGACUGCUAGCUUCCCUGCUGCAUUACAGGAGAUGGAUACGAAGUCCUCGGAGGAGGAAUACAAAGCUCUACAAGGUGAUGGAGCUGGAGAUGUGUAUUUCCAGUCUCUUGAAGAACGAAUCAUUUAUAUGAAGAUUUUGCAGGGAUGUAUAUAUAUGGUCGUGUUUCACUGGGAUCCUCAACUGUUCCAGUUCGUAUUUAGCAGGAUCACAUGUUGACCAAUGACUCAAAUUAAUUUUCUCACUGAUCCAGUUAACUCAAGAACUUGUGACCCAGUUCUAGGACAACUGUGGACUAAGGGAUGGAGGUUGAUUUAUCAGCGGUUACAGGCAUGCAUGCUUUAUGGUGGCAAGCAUUAUAUAUCAUUGAAGACUUUCCAUUUGUUCAAGUUCCUGAUAUGCUAAUCGGUAACCUUUAGAUUUGUUUGGAGAGUUCUGUCCAUCCAAGCACCAUGCUUAUGUGGCCAAAGAAGCGCUUACAAAAAGAAGAAAGAGACCUGGUUUGCCUUCCUUGCUGGCGUCCUUGUCAUCUCCAACCCGCCCACGGGGUGCUCAAGGGGUUCGGCCAAGUCGGAUGCCAGGCGGUGCGCGCAGCUGAGGAGCACUGGCAGCAGGCGCUUGAUGCGGCGCUCCCCGCGUCGCCGCUGCUCAUUCGCGGCUCCUCCUCCUCCCCAACGGAUCGCGACUGAACCUUCCUUGUGCCAGCACCUCGUGGCCAUGAAGGGUGGCUGAGCCAUCAGGAGCGGCGGCGGCGGCCUGCUGCGGAUGCUGCUGCGGCUCCCUCCUCUUCCUCGUCGGCUUCUACCUGCUUUGUGCCGACGCCAUGUACAUCGUGUCAUCCCGGUGCUUCUGCUUUCCCGGGUCGCAACUCUUUGGUGUGCUCGACAAGGCCAGGACUCACAUUCUGGAGAGCUCCUUGGUCAGUCCAUCACGAGAACCGGCAGCUACCGGAUUCCUUUUGUGCUGCUGGAAAGGAGGCACAUUGUUCCCAUGCUCGUGCUCUAUGGGUAGAAGCUGCAAAUUCUGGAGGUAUCAGACGAGGGUAUUCGAAGAAGACACCAUGAAUGGCAGCAGACUCUACCGCUUCCAUUACAAUGGUAUUCAAAAAAGAUACCACCUUGUGGCCUUUCCUGUUUCCUGUGACUACGACUUCCAACUCUUUAACUGGGAUGGUGUCAAAAGAAAUUCUGUAACUGGGACACAAUAAAAUAAAUUGGUACAACUAUGUGGAUUCCUUGGUAAGCUCAUGAUUCAUCUGGCUAAGCAGUCUUAGUAGACCGCCAAUGUUGUGUUAUUAAGAUGCAGGUUUCAAUAACCUUCAUGUUUGCGGCUAAAAUAAUGUAGUUAUCUCGGUAGUCUAGGUAGAUUGAAAUAAUUGUUUAUCCUUGAAGCAAAUCAACUAAACAACUGCCAGUAGAUGAUGAGGUGCCUUCUGCAAACAAAAAAGCUAAGCUCUAAGCGAGUAUUUUUAGGCGACCUAUCUUUUUCGGUGAUUUGUUUAAUCCUUCCUCUGCUCAAUUGAUGUGAAGCACAAACCUUGCUCUGCUAAAUUGAUGUGAACCACAAUCCUUGCUCUGCUCAAUUGAUCUUCCCAGCAAAUCAAUGAACAUGUGCCCACAGGGACACAGUCAAAGCAAGGUAUCUGAAGACCUGAUGGGAAAUGAGGAGGUGCCCUUUGCAACUAAAAAGACUAAGUUGGAGACCAAGUGCCUUUAGGCAACGCGCCCUUUUGGAUUGUAGCGUAUUAGUUGCGGAUGUGCAGAAAAUGCUGAUUUAGCGGAUGGUUGCCUUUUCCAUCUGGGAUCGCUUUUGUUGCGACCUGUCGCUUAUAAUAGAGUGAUCUGUUUUACUGAUCCUGGCCAAGUGGAAUCUACUGUCUGUCAAUGUCCAAAUGCUGCAGUCAGUAGUUAGUGUGACAUGGAUCUUGACUAAUGUAUCCCAUCAGUUUAGCCGUGUGUUGCUAGCUGAUGUGAAAGUAUGUGUGAUUACCAUACUUAUUAUGAUUAUGGAUGUUGCUACAUGUUUCAUUA